AUUGAACGCUGGCGGCAGGCCUAACACAUGCAAGUCGAACGCGUGGCGGACGGGUGAGUAAUGUCUGGGAAACUGCCCGAUGGAGGGGGAUAACUACUGGAAACGGUAGCUAAUACCGCAUACCAUCGGAUGUGCCCAGAUGGGAUUAGCUAGUAGGUGGGGUAACCGCUCACCUAGGCGACGAUCCCUAGCUGUUCCGAGAGGAGGACCAGCCACACUGGAACUGAGACACGGUCCAGACUCCUACGGGAGGCAGCAGUGGGGAAUAUUGCACAGUGGGCGCAAGCCUGAUGCAGCCAUGCCGCGGGUAUGAAGAAGGCCUUCGGGUUGUAAAGUACUUUCAGCGAGGAGGCGUUACUCGCAGGAGAAGCACCGGCUAACUCCGUGCCAGCAGCCGCGGUAAUAC
This 406-nucleotide ribosomal RNA is filed under the name uncultured bacterium. Its description in RNAcentral is "partial 16S ribosomal RNA". It matches the Rfam family "Bacterial small subunit ribosomal RNA", at positions 30 to 526 of the family's 1533-position model. The record is from RNAcentral.